This 317-nucleotide ribosomal RNA is filed under the name uncultured soil bacterium. RNAcentral describes it as "bacterial SSU rRNA". It matches the Rfam family "Bacterial small subunit ribosomal RNA", at positions 211 to 519 of the family's 1533-position model. The record is from RNAcentral.
GCCUUCGCUCUGGGAUGAGCCUAUGUCCCAUUAGCUAGUUGGUAGGGUAUUGGCCUACCAAGGCUGUGAUGGGUAGCUGGUCUGAGAGGAUGAUCAGCCACACUGGAACUGAAACACGGUCCAGACUCCUACGGGAGGCAGCAGUGGGGAAUCUUGCGCAAUGGACGAAAGUCUGACGCAGCCACGCCGCGUGAGUGAAGAAGGCCUUCGGGUUGUAAAGCUCUGUCGUCCGGAACGAAAAUGCAGGGAGUGAAUAGCUCCUUGAACUGACGGUACCGGAAAAGGAAGCACCGGCUAACUCCGUGCCAGCAGCCGCG